RNAcentral lists this ribosomal RNA (170 nucleotides) under uncultured bacterium. RNAcentral's name for it is "partial 16S ribosomal RNA". It matches the Rfam family "Bacterial small subunit ribosomal RNA", at positions 338 to 524 of the family's 1533-position model. The record is from RNAcentral.
CCUACGGGAGGCAGCAGUCGGGAAUAUUGCGCAAUGGAGGAAACUCUGACGCAGUGACGCCGCGUGCAGGAAGAAGGUUUUCGGAUUGUAAACUGCUUUAGACAGGGAAGAACUAAGACAGUACCUGUAGAAUAAGCUCCGGCUAACUACGUGCCAGCAGCCGCGGUAAU